This 71-nucleotide transfer RNA is filed under the name Pyrrhopeplus posthumus. RNAcentral's name for it is "tRNA-Ser". Lineage: Eukaryota; Metazoa; Arthropoda; Insecta; Hemiptera; Pyrrhocoridae. The record is from RNAcentral.
AAGGGAAAGAGGUUUCUAAAAGAAGCUGCUAACUAUCUUUUAUCAGCGGUUAAACUCCGUUAUUCCCUUAU